This 820-nucleotide ribosomal RNA is filed under the name uncultured Geobacter sp. Its description in RNAcentral is "bacterial SSU rRNA". It matches the Rfam family "Bacterial small subunit ribosomal RNA", at positions 38 to 838 of the family's 1533-position model. The record is from RNAcentral. Lineage: Bacteria; Pseudomonadati; Thermodesulfobacteriota; Desulfuromonadia; Geobacterales; Geobacteraceae.
CAUGGCGGGUGCUACCAUGCAAGUCGAACGUGAUCCGCCCUUCGGGGUGGUGAAAGUGGCGCACGGGUGAGUAACGCGUGGAUAAUCUGCCCGAGGAUUUGGGAUAACAUCUCGAAAGGGGUGCUAAUACCGAAUAAGCCCACGGGGUCUACGGAUCUUGCGGGAAAAGGGGGGGACCUUCGGGCCUCCUGUCCUUGGAUGAGUCUGCGUACCAUUAGCUAGUUGGUGGGGUAAUGGCCUACCAAGGCGACGAUGGUUAGCUGGUCUGAGAGGAUGAUCAGCCACACUGGAACUGAGACACGGUCCAGACUCCUACGGGAGGCAGCAGUGGGGAAUUUUGCGCAAUGGGGGAAACCCUGACGCAGCAACGCCGCGUGGGUGAUGAAGGCCUUCGGGUCGUAAAGCUCUGUCUGGAGGGAAGAAAUGAUUGGGAGCUAAUACCUCUUGAUCUUGACGGUACCUCUGAAGGAAGCACCGGCUAACUCCGUGCCAGCAGCCGCGGUAAUACGGAGGGUGCAAGCGUUGUUCGGAAUUAUUGGGCGUAAAGCGCGUGUAGGCGGUCUUUUAAGUCUGAUGUGAAAGCCCCGGGCUCAACCUGGGAAGUGCAUUGGAAACUGGGAGGCUUGAGUACGGGAGAGGAGAGUGGAAUUCCUAGUGUAGGAGUGAAAUCCGUAGAUAUUAGGAGGAACACCGGUGGCGAAGGCGGCUCUCUGGACCGAUACUGACGCUGAGACGCGAAAGCGUGGGUAGCAAACAGGAUUAGAUACCCUGGUAGUCCACGCCGUAAACGAUGAGUACUACGUGUUGCGGGUAUUGACCC